Molecule: ribosomal RNA, 429 nt
Filed under: bacterium
Lineage: Bacteria
Description: partial 16S ribosomal RNA
Rfam family: Bacterial small subunit ribosomal RNA
Source: RNAcentral
UAGGGAAUCUUCGGCAAUGGGGGCAACCCUGACCGAGCAACGCCGCGUGAGUGAAGAAGGUUUUCGGAUCGUAAAGCUCUGUUGUAAGAGAAGAACGUGUGUGAGAGUGGAAAGUUCACACAGUGACGGUAACUUACCAGAAAGGGCCGCCUAACUACGUGCCAGCAGCGGCGGUAAUACGUAGGUCCGGAGCGUUGUCGGGAUUUAUUGGGCGUAAAGCCGGCGCGGGCGGUUUAAUAAGUCUCAAGGUAAAGGCAGUGGUUUAACCAGUGUUCGCUUUGGAAACUGUUAAACUUGAGUGCAGAAGGGGAGAGUGGAAUUCCAUGUGUAGCGGUGAAAUGCGUAGAUAUAUGGAGGAACACCGGUGGCGAAGGCGGCUCUCUGGUCUGUAACUGACGCUGAGGCUCGAAAGCGUGGGGAGCAAACAGG